This 253-nucleotide ribosomal RNA is filed under the name uncultured bacterium. RNAcentral's name for it is "partial 16S ribosomal RNA". It matches the Rfam family "Bacterial small subunit ribosomal RNA", at positions 524 to 776 of the family's 1533-position model. The record is from RNAcentral.
UACGUAGGGCGCAAGCGUUGUCCGGAAUUAUUGGGCGUAAAGAGCUCGUAGGCGGUCUGUCGCGUCUGUUGUGAAAACUCGAGGCUCAACCUCGGGCUUGCAGUGGAUACGGGCAGACUAGAGUGCGGUAGGGGAGACUGGAAUUCCUGGUGUAGCGGUGAAAUGCGCAGAUAUCAGGAGGAACACCGAUGGCGAAGGCAGGUCUCUGGGCCAUAACUGACGCUGAGAAGCGAAAGCAUGGGGAGCGAACAGG